GGGCCCGCACAAGCGGUGGAGCAUGUGGUUUAAUUCGAUGAUACGCGAGGAACCUUACCAGGGCUUAAAUGUAGUCUGACAGGGGUGGAAACACCCCUCCUUCGGGCAGAUUACAAGGUGCUGCAUGGUUGUCGUCAGCUCGUGCCGUGAGGUGUCAGGUUAAGUCCUUUAACGAGCGCAACCCUUGUACUUAGUUGACUUCGGUGACUCUAAGUAGACUGCCCACUAGGAUAGUGGGAGAAAGGUAAGGAUGACGUCAAGUCCUCAUGGCCCUUAUGAACUGGGCUACACACGUGUUACAAUGGUAAGAACAAUGAGAAGCGAUCUUGUAAAAGUGAGCA
This 341-nucleotide ribosomal RNA is filed under the name uncultured bacterium. RNAcentral's name for it is "bacterial SSU rRNA". It matches the Rfam family "Bacterial small subunit ribosomal RNA", at positions 917 to 1269 of the family's 1533-position model. The record is from RNAcentral.